GACGAACGCUGGCGGCGUGCUUAACACAUGCAAGUCGAACGGAAAGGCCCUGCUUUUGUUUGUUUCUCGAUUGGCGAACGGGUGAGUAACACGUGAGUAACCUGCCCUUGACUUUGGGAUAACUUCAGGAAACUGGGGCUAAUACCGGAUAGGAUCUCCUGCUGCAUGGUGGUGGUUGGAAAGUUUCGGCGGUUGGGGAUCGACUCGCGGGUUAUCAGCUUGUUGGUGGGGUAGUUGCUUACCAAGGCUUUGACGGGUAGCCGGCCUGAGAGGGUGACCGGCCACAUUGGGACUGAGAUACGGCCCAGACUCCUACGGGAGGCAGCAGUGGGGAAUAUUGCACAAUGGGGGGAAGCCUGAUGCAGCAACGCCGCGUGCGGGAUGACGGCCUUCGGGUGGUAAACAGCUUUCGCCUGUGACGAAGCGUGAGUGACGGUAAUGGGUAAAGAAGCACCGGCUAACUACGUG
This 468-nucleotide ribosomal RNA is filed under the name uncultured bacterium. RNAcentral's name for it is "partial 16S ribosomal RNA". It matches the Rfam family "Bacterial small subunit ribosomal RNA", at positions 28 to 507 of the family's 1533-position model. The record is from RNAcentral.